AUUGAACGCUGGCGGCAUGCCUUACACAUGCAAGUCGAACGGCAGCACGGGUGCUUGCACCUGGUGGCGAGUGGCGAACGGGUGAGUAAUACAUCGGAACAUGUCCUGUAGUGGGGGAUAGCCCGGCGAAAGCCGGAUUAAUACCGCAUACGAUCUACGGAUGAAAGCGGGGGACCUUCGGGCCUCGCGCUACAGGGUUGGCCGAUGGCUGAUUAGCUAGUUGGUGGGGUAAAGGCCUACCAAGGCGACGACCAGUAGCUGGUCUGAGAGGACGACCAGCCACACUGGGACUGAGACACGGCCCAGACUCCUACGGGAGGCAGCAGUGGGGAAUUUUGGACAAUGGGCGAAAGCCUGAUCCAGCAAUGCCGCGUGUGUGAAGAAGGCCUUCGGGUUGUAAAGCACUUUUGUCCGGAAAGAAAUCCUUGGCUCUAAUACAGUCGGGGGAUGACGGUACCGGAAGAAUAAGCACCGGCUAACUACGUG
Molecule: ribosomal RNA, 486 nt
Filed under: uncultured bacterium
Lineage: Bacteria
Description: partial 16S ribosomal RNA
Rfam family: Bacterial small subunit ribosomal RNA
Source: RNAcentral